Molecule: small RNA, 35 nt
Filed under: Arabidopsis thaliana (thale cress)
Lineage: Eukaryota; Viridiplantae; Streptophyta; Magnoliopsida; Brassicales; Brassicaceae
Description: ATSL282850
Source: RNAcentral
AUACAAAAGCGGGUUGCAUUAACUAGUAAUCUGGG